Molecule: ribosomal RNA, 253 nt
Filed under: uncultured bacterium
Lineage: Bacteria
Description: partial 16S ribosomal RNA
Rfam family: Bacterial small subunit ribosomal RNA
Source: RNAcentral
UACGUAGGGGGCAAGCGUUGUCCGGAAUCACUGGGCGUAAAGCGCACGUAGGCGGCUUUGUAAGUAAGAGGUGAAAGCCUGGAGCUCAACUCCAGAACUGCCUUUUAGACUGCAUCGCUUGAAUCCAGGAGAGGUGAGUGGAAUUCCGAGUGUAGAGGUGAAAUUCGUAGAUAUUCGGAAGAACACCAGUGGCGAAGGCGGCUCACUGGACUGGUAUUGACGCUGAGGUGCGAAAGCGUGGGGAGCAAACAGG